Molecule: ribosomal RNA, 161 nt
Filed under: Camellia sasanqua
Lineage: Eukaryota; Viridiplantae; Streptophyta; Magnoliopsida; Ericales; Theaceae
Description: 5.8S ribosomal RNA
Rfam family: 5.8S ribosomal RNA
About the family: 5.8S ribosomal RNA (5.8S rRNA) is a component of the large subunit of the eukaryotic ribosome. It is transcribed by RNA polymerase I as part of the 45S precursor that also contains 18S and 28S rRNA. Functionally, it is thought that 5.8S rRNA may be involved in ribosome translocation.
Source: RNAcentral
UAAAAACGACUCUCGGCAACGGAUAUCUCGGCUCUCGCAUCGAUGAAGAACGUAGCGAAAUGCGAUACUUGGUGUGAAUUGUAGAAUCCCGCGAACCAUCGAGUCUUUGAACGCAAGUUGCGCCCGAAGCCAUUAGGUCGAGGGCACGUCUGCCUGGGCGU